GAACGAAGCCUUCGGGCUUAAUGGCGCACGGGUGCGUAACGCGUGGGAAUCUGCCCUUGGGUUCGGAAUAACAGUUAGAAAUGACUGCUAAUACCGGAUGAUGACGUAAGUCCAAAGAUUUAUCGCCCAGGGGAUGAGCCCGCGUAGGAUUAGCUAGUUGGUGAGGUAAAAGCUCACCAAGGUGACGAUCCUUAGCUGGUCUGAGAGGAUGAUCAGCCACACUGGGACUGAGACACGGCCCAGACUCCUACGGGAGGCAGCAGUGGGGAAUAUUGGACAAUGGGCGAAAGCCUGAUCCAGCAAUGCCGCGUGAGUGAUGAACGCCUUAGGGUUGUAAAGCUCUUUUACCCGGGAUGAUAAUGACAGUACCGGGAGAAUAAGCUCCGGCUAACUCCGUG
This 398-nucleotide ribosomal RNA is filed under the name uncultured bacterium. RNAcentral's name for it is "bacterial SSU rRNA". It matches the Rfam family "Bacterial small subunit ribosomal RNA", at positions 64 to 507 of the family's 1533-position model. The record is from RNAcentral.